ACUCGAGUGGCGAACGGGUGAGUAACACGUGGGUGAUCUGCCCUGCACUUCGGGAUAAGCCUGGGAAACUGGGUCUAAUACCGGAUAGGAGCCAUUUUUAGCGUGAUGGUUGGAAAGUUUUUCGGUGUAGGAUGAGCUCGCGGCCUAUCAGCUUGUUGGUGGGGUAAUGGCCUACCAAGGCGGCGACGGGUAGCCGGCCUGAGAGGGUGGACGGCCACAUUGGGACUGAGAUACGGCCCAG
Molecule: ribosomal RNA, 241 nt
Filed under: uncultured Actinomycetales bacterium
Lineage: Bacteria; Bacillati; Actinomycetota; Actinomycetes; Actinomycetales
Description: partial 16S ribosomal RNA
Rfam family: Bacterial small subunit ribosomal RNA
Source: RNAcentral